RNAcentral lists this ribosomal RNA (578 nucleotides) under Blastocystis sp. Its description in RNAcentral is "SSU rRNA". It matches the Rfam family "Eukaryotic small subunit ribosomal RNA", at positions 1 to 592 of the family's 1831-position model. The record is from RNAcentral. Lineage: Eukaryota; Bigyra; Opalinata; Blastocystidae.
UUUUAUCUGGGUUGGCCCUGCCAGUAGUCAUACGCUCGUCUCAAAGAUUAAGCCAUGCAUGUGUAAGUAUAAAUAUUCUACUUUGAAACUGCGAAUGGCUCAUUAUAUCAGUUAUAGUUUAUUUGAUGAAAUGUACUACUUGGAUAACCGUAGUAAUUCUAGAGCUAAUACAUGAUCAAUUCCUCGACUUUGAAGAGGUGUAUUUAUUAGAAUGAAAACCAAUAGACUUUGUCUGUUUGUGAGUAAUAAUAACUUGUCAUAUCGCAUGCUUAGGUAGCGAUGUGUCUUUUAAGUUUCUGCCCUAUCAGCUUUCGAUGGUAGUGUAUUGGACUCCCAUGGCAGUAACGGGUAACGAAGAAUUUGGGUUCGAUUUCGGAGAGGGAGCCUGAGAGACGGCUCCCACAUCCAAGGAAGGCAGCAGGCGCGUAAAUUACCCAAUCCUGACACAGGGAGGUAGUGACAAUAAAUCACAAUGCGGAACUUUUGUUUUGCAAUUGGAUUGAGAACAACGCACAACACUUAUCGAUAAACAAUUGGAGGGCAAGUCUGGUGCCAGCAGCCGCGGUAAUCCAGCUGCC